AGUGAACGCUGGCGGUAGGCCUAACACAUGCAAGUCGAACGGCAGCACAGUAAGAGCUUGCUCUUACGGGUUGCGAGUGGCGGACGGGUGAGGAAUACAUCGGAAUCUACUUUUUCGUGGGGGAUAACGUAGGGAAACUUACGCUAAUACCGCAUACGACCUACGGGUGAAAGCAGGGGAUCUUCGGACCUUGCGCGAUUGAAUGAGCCGAUGUGGGAUUAGCUAGUUGGCGGGGUAAAGGCCCACCAAGGCGACGAUCCGUAGCUGGUCUGAGAGGAUGAUCAGCGACACUGGAACUGAGACACGGUCCAGGCUCCUACGGGAGGCAGCAGUGGGGAAUAUUGGACAAAGGGCGCAAGCAUGGUCCAGCCAUACCGCGUGGGUGAAGAAGGCCUUCGGGUUGUAAAGCCCUUUUGUUGGGAAAGAAAAGCAGCAGGUUAAUACCCCGCUGUUCUGACGGUACCCAAAGAAUAAGCACCGGCUAACUUCGUG
Molecule: ribosomal RNA, 492 nt
Filed under: uncultured bacterium
Lineage: Bacteria
Description: partial 16S ribosomal RNA
Rfam family: Bacterial small subunit ribosomal RNA
Source: RNAcentral